RNAcentral lists this ribosomal RNA (250 nucleotides) under uncultured prokaryote. Its description in RNAcentral is "partial 16S ribosomal RNA". It matches the Rfam family "Bacterial small subunit ribosomal RNA", at positions 524 to 773 of the family's 1533-position model. The record is from RNAcentral.
UACGUAGGGGGCGAGCGUUGUCCGGAAUGAUUGGGCGUAAAGGGCGCGUAGGCGGCUGAUUAAGUCUGAAGUGAAAGUCCUGUUUUUAAGAUGGGAAUUGCUUUGGAUACUGGUCAGCUUGAGUGCAGGAGAGGUAAGUGGAAUUCCCAGUGUAGCGGUGAAAUGCGUAGAGAUUGGGAGGAACACCAGUGGCGAAGGCGACUUACUGGACUGUAACUGACGCUGAGGCGCGAAAGUGUGGGGAGCAAAC